This 229-nucleotide ribosomal RNA is filed under the name uncultured bacterium. RNAcentral's name for it is "partial 16S ribosomal RNA". It matches the Rfam family "Bacterial small subunit ribosomal RNA", at positions 568 to 796 of the family's 1533-position model. The record is from RNAcentral.
UCCGUAGGUGGAUAAUUAAGUCAGUGAUGAAAUCCUGCAGCUUAACUGUAGAACUGUUAUUGAUACUGAUUUUCUUGAAUAUAGUUGAGGUAGGCGGAAUGUGUAAUGUAGCGGUGAAAUGCUUAGAUAUUACACAGAACACCGAUUGCGAAGGCAGCUUACUAAGCUAUUAUUGACGCUGAGGCACGAAAGCGUGGGGAGCGAACAGGAUUAGAUACCCUGGUAGUCC